Molecule: long non-coding RNA, 139 nt
Organism: Etheostoma spectabile (orangethroat darter)
Lineage: Eukaryota; Metazoa; Chordata; Actinopteri; Perciformes; Percidae
Exons: 3
Source: RefSeq, a predicted model, not a curated record
UAAACCUAUAAAAAGACCCAGGCAAGCUAAAGAAAAAAAUAUACUGUGAUAUACCGUGAAACCAUCAGAAUCUUAAAAAAUACUGUGAUAUACAUUUUUGGUCAUACCACCCAGCACUAUUACACAUGCAAAAAGCCAA